Mesocricetus auratus (golden hamster) is the source of this 1591-nucleotide long non-coding RNA. RefSeq lists it as uncharacterized. Lineage: Eukaryota; Metazoa; Chordata; Mammalia; Rodentia; Cricetidae. The record is from RefSeq and is a predicted model, not a curated record. The transcript is spliced from 3 exons.
AGCAAAUCCCAAACAGCGUUUGUCCUAAACUUAAAGUCACAAGUGAGUAUUGCUUUUCCUUUAACGGAGUGGUUUUCUAAUAUCUUCACUCAAGAAAGAUCCUGCCGUGAAGACUCCUGAGGCGGCUUUGCCGUCAGCUCCUCACCAUUGUGGAGCCCAGCUUGACUCAGCCAUGGCAUGGAGUACAGCACUGCUUCUGCUAAGCACACCCACAGGAGCUGAGGGCGCUGUCCUCCAGGCUCUGCCCCACUCGUCUCGCUGGGGUCCCCGGGAAACUCCUGGCAGGAAGUGCAGCUCCGAAUCUCGGAAAAGACCAACUUGAGGUCCCUUGUCUGAGAUGGGAAAAUGGCCGUAUCGUUUGUGGCCUGUGUGUGUUGUGUCUGGUUCCUGUGGUUUGUUUUCCUGCUUUGAAAACGAAACCCUUCAUGGCUCUGGGAUGGAAAGCAGACCACGUUUUUUGUCAGCGAAGCCAUUCGUCAUGUUCCCCAGAGGGGACUGUGAACUCCCGCAGCCUUGGACCCCGCCAGCAUGCAGACCACCCAUGUUGUAGAGCUGGGAACACCACCAGGCAACACAUCAUAAAGUCAACUGGGCACUAGGCUCUCUGCCAGCAGCCCUCCCAGCCCUGGGGACUCAGGUCUGAAAAGUGCCAGGGACAGUCGAUCUCACCUGGUGGUUCAGGUCUCCUGCAGGGUCAGUCCUGAACACCAACUGGGUGGAGGCUAAACUUGCCUAAUCGUCCAGAAUGAACAGGGCCUCUCAGAUCUGCCCCAAACUGAGCUCAACAAGGAAACGACUUUACUGCUCUGGUAAAAAUUGUUUGGCUGUAUUUAAGUUCAUCUCUUUUGUUUUUUACGGUUCUGCAGAAAGCUAGUUGUAAAAAUGCUCUGCAGCAAAGAACUUCUGUUAGCAAAUGUCUGCACCUGCUGAGUAGGGGCAGCAGGGGAGGAAGCCAAGCAGAAGUGGGCUGCAGAAGGAGUUCCCAGGCAGCUGUUUCGGCAGCCUAGUGACUUAGCAACUCACCUGUCUCACCUGGUUGCUCACUGAAAGUACAGCAAGGUCCACCUGGGUUUGCGGAGUUUGGAGCCUGGAGCCUGCAUUUACAACCCAGUUCCUGGGUGACUGUGGCCAAACCUGCUUGGGAACUAGGCUAACAGGGAAGCAGUCAGCUUAAGGAGUCAGUCGGUGUCCCUGGCACUGUCACUCAGUGGGAGCCCGAGAGGGUGGGUUUCCCUGUCUCUAGGGGAUAAAGGCAGCACUGGACUGUUCCAGGACUGUUCGUAGAGCCAGGGGAGAGGAUGCUGUUGUUUUACAAAGGUGUAUGAAGGGCGAGGCGAUGAGCACAGAGCUCAAUCUUCUGACUUUUUUUUUUUUAAAAAACGCUUGGUGUAAAUGUGGAAAAGCACCACUUAGGCUGGGAACCAGAGCAUAGGGCAGAGCAGGAACUGAUCAUAACUGGCCUCAGCCAGGAACAAGCUGAGCCUGGAGACGCUAUUUAAAACUGUGUUCCCUCUUAUGUCUCGGUUCAUUUUUAUAGAAAGUGAUGACUAAUUCCCAUUGUAAUGUCCAUAAAGAUGUCACAGUAAACAGA